This 301-nucleotide ribosomal RNA is filed under the name uncultured bacterium. Its description in RNAcentral is "partial 16S ribosomal RNA". It matches the Rfam family "Bacterial small subunit ribosomal RNA", at positions 509 to 807 of the family's 1533-position model. The record is from RNAcentral.
CAGCCGCCGCGGGAAUACGAAGGGGGCUAGCGUUGUUCGGAUUUACUGGGCGUAAAGGGCGCGUAGGCGGGCUGAUAAGUCAGGGGUGAAAUCCCAAGGCUCAACCUUGGAACUGCCUUUGAUACUGUUUGUCUUGAGUUCGAGAGAGGUAAGUGGAACUGCGAGUGUAGAGGUGAAAUUCGUAGAUAUUCGCAAGAACACCAGUGGCGAAGGCGGCUUACUGGCUCGAAACUGACGCUGAGGCGCGAAAGCGUGGGGAGCAAACAGGAUUAGAGACCCGCGUAGUCCUUGUCUCUUAUAC